RNAcentral lists this microRNA (22 nucleotides) under Human betaherpesvirus 5. RNAcentral describes it as "hcmv-miR-UL59". Its record names the gene hcmv-miR-UL59. The record is from miRBase by way of RNAcentral. Lineage: Duplodnaviria; Heunggongvirae; Peploviricota; Herviviricetes; Herpesvirales; Orthoherpesviridae.
GUUCUCUCGCUCGUCAUGCCGU